GAAGGUGAAUGGGCCGCCUUCUAGAGAGAUACAUUAAAGAUGUAUCCGGGAAUUCUUUUUCACCAUUCCAGACCACCAUUUAUGUAGUGGUACGUUGUUGAUAUAUUAGUUCAGAUGAGGCUACAUGUUACCUCGAUGAGGUUUAGAGGCAAGGGGUGAGAGUUAGUCCACUCCUGGACGUGUGUCAGGAUCCUGUGCAGUCUGCAGUCGUCGAACGGUUGACCACCGUAAGCCAGGGAUUCCUCGUAUCAGGAAUCGUGGUCAAAGGCCUACCUGAGCCUAAAUGGACGGGUUUAGUGUUCUUGGAACACAACAACGGUAAUACAGUCACCCCACCGGAAAUCAGGAAAUAACGGUGCAGGUUCACACUGGUAAGUACUGAACUAAGAGAUUGCCUGCGUCCGGGGCGGUAUAGCGGUCGUACCUCAUCAUUCUAAUAGGAUGCAACUACCCGACUUAUUGUAUGGAUUCAUGGUUAGUAUGAUUACUAUAAAAGGUAAAAGUUUUGGUUUAAAAGUAUUUACUUAUCAAAUUACUUAUGUAUUUUAUUAUUAUAGUUAAAACCUGCAUUAUUUCAACUGUUUCGUAUGGUUAAUCGUCAUGCAUGAUUAGAUAGUAUUUUGGAAAUGUGAGUCACUACUGAGCAAGUGAAAAUGCUCACCCUAUCAUUAACCCCUUUCUAGUUAAACCGUUGCUCGAGGUUAGAUCGAUUCGGCAGAUAUGGUUGUGCGGAGGUUACAAUGGGUAUUGGUAUAGGUAUUCGUGCAAUAGGUAUACGUAGUUUCUUUUGUAUAAAAGUGAUCACAGUUUAUAUUAUUAUGUAUUGUACUAUUUUAUGUAUUUUUAAAGCCAAUUAUAUAGAUGAAUAUCAUUCAGAAUCUUGUAUUAUAAUAUUAUUAUCAUGGGUUGGGUUAUUCAAAUGCCUCGAGAUCUGACAUUGAGUCAUAGGGAUUCGUGUUAUGGUUUUGGGGCUUUAGGAUGAAAAAUCUAUAACUAAAAAUAAUUAAUAAAAUUGUAAAGACUAAAUCUUAUUUUUGUCUAUUGUAGUCCUAUGUGUAUUUCUAGUAUUAUAUUAGUUUCGUAUAGAUACCUUUCGAUCUAUGGUGCUGUGAAUUGCACAUUGAUUUUCCCAACUUGAACUAGCUCUUGAUAUUCGGGAGCCAACCCAGCGAAGAUAACAGAUGGAAUACUAGAAUUUGUGGAUUGACUAGAUCUAGAUGAUUUGGGAAAGCUUGGGUUUAGAUUUGAUCUGUUAAUAUGUGCAUCUAUUGGUGAUUAUGAUAAUAUUAUUUGAUGUGCAGUUUUAUUUAGUAGUUAUAUUAAGAUAAGAGAAUCGUCAUUUGAUGUCAUUCUUUGAAGGGUGUUUGAUUUUCAAUGAAAUUUGGAAAAAUUAACUUGAUCUUGAUGAUUAUUGAUAUACAAUUAUGAAAGGAGAUUCAUUUGGGAAGUUAUUUUGAUCAGUUAUAAUAUUUUGAAGUCUCGAGGCUACAAAAAUCUGUUCUGUUGCUCGACAUAUAUUUUUUGAAUUCGUGGAACAUUAGGAGACAGUUCAUAAUUGAAAUUUUAGACAAAAAAGUUAGUAGUUUACCAUUAUUAUAUUAAGUGCUUCUUUAAGGAAGUAGUCUAUGAAAUAAGCUAUUAUGGAAAAAUUUAUUAGAAAUAUUUUGGAGAUUUUGAAUAUUAUUUGAGGAUUAUGCAUUAUAUUGUUUCUGGUGGCUAUAAUAGAAAGAAUUUGUUAUAAGCAAAGUAUAGUGAUUUUGAUAGAGUCCCGUAAGAAUUGGGAACUGAUCUAAAGACCAUUCCAUUAUAGGUAUGUCUAUAAUACAGAGUAACCGAGAUUUGUGAAGACUGGAAUCUAUUAGAGGAACAUUAGGAAAUUUUUAUUGUUAGGAUUUGUACAGGUGUUAUUCUGCGCUAUGGGAAUUCUGUAUUAUCUGUUAUACUGUCUAGUAUGUUAUAUUACUACCUUGAUGUAUAUACUUAUAUAGGUACAUAUGAUUUCACCUGUAGUUAUUGUGCAUAGGGGAUAAAUAUUAUUACUGUAUGUAAAUUUUGUGUGUGUUUUGUAAACCAUAUAGUCUACUACAUAUUAUAGUUAUAUUUACUACCAGGGGUUAGAAUGUGCGAUUAUAUAUCACUACAGGAUGAGUUUGUAGGUAGAGUAUGUAUUAGUAUUUUGAAGACUUAUGGAAGACGUUCAAUCUCUUAAGGUAAUACUAAAGUACUAUGAGAUCAUUUUAUAUAGAAAGUUGACAAUGGUCUAUUCAUUCUUUACUAGACAAAUAGUUUGGGAUUAUCAAUAUUAUAUGAUGGUGGGAUAUGAAUGGUCUCAAUUCUAAAUGAUUACAGUGAUUAAGAAAUGAUUCUGACCUUGUGAUUUAGGUUUUGGAAAAGAAAACUGGAACCUUAGGGCAAUAAUGAUUGGAUUCCAUAUAGUGAAAUAUUUGAUGAUAUACGUUUUAAUUGGCUUAAGGUUUGAAAUGAUAUUUGGUGGUUUAAUAUGUGAACGGCGUAGCUGUUAAGGAUUUUAUGUAAAUCUCUAAGACGUCUGUAGAACACAUUUACUGAAUAAUUUUGAGGAGUAAUGAAUAAUUGUAUUUAAUAGUUUUUUUUGAGAGAAUUAACUAAUUUAUAUUGCAGUCUGUCUUCAGAAGAUUUUCAAUCAUGAAUUUUUUUGAGGAGAUAAAAAAUUAUGAAAAUAUGGGACUUUGGGAAUUUCAUCUUAACUUUACUAGUUAUAUAUAGAACGAACUUUGGAGCUAUAUGAGAGCCUUAGUGAGAUAUGAUAUUUGAUUGUAUAUUAUAGCUAGUUUAUGUAAUGUAUAUAUUUUCAGAUAUUUAAAUAUGAUAUUCUGUUUAUAUAAGUCGAUACACGUUGUUAUAUAGCUAUUUGAUUCUUAGGCGUGUGGCCAAUAUAAUAUGUGGGUAUUAGUCCUGUUAUGUGCUUAUAUAUUUUUGGAUUGUAUAGGUUAGAGAUAUAGCCUUUUAGCAAGCAUAGGUUUUAGUAAGGAGUAAACUAGAUUUUAUGAAGGGUAGGCAAUUGUGGGAUUUUAUGAUAUGAUAACUCUAGCAGUGUAGGUAAGUUAGUACAAAUACUUGUACUGCCAGUUAAGGAAAGCUAACUAUUGUAAUUUGAUUCACUUGUUAAUCUUUUGGGAAAGUCCAUAUCAUUUUCUUCGGAGUAACUAUCAAGCUUUGGAGUUAUAAAAGAGUGAUUUGAACCCUAAUAUGAAUAAUCGAUUAAAUAAGUACAAUUAGUAUUUUAUGAACAUGGUGAUGUGAUGUUAUUGAGGUUGAUCUAAAUCUUAGUAGUCUGUACAAUCUAAACAUAUAGAAAUUUUUGAUGCAUUUUGGGACAUUGAAUGGAUUAGGAUUUUGAAGUGAAUUUUACAAUCUGAUAAUCAAUAUUGAUACACAUAUAUCUUGAAUUAACAGAAAAGUUGGAUUAAUGACCAGUCACUUAUUUAUGUUAAUUGGCAGACUUAUUUAAUGAAGCUUUGAAACGGGUGACUUUGAUAAAAUUUUGUGGUACAGUAAUCUUGUGUGAAUCUUUUGACAUUGUGACAUUUUGGGAACACUGUAAGGAGUAGACCAUAUCAUGUUUUCUUUGUUGUGUAUAUUUUGGGUAUAUAUUUAUCGACACCUUAUGUGGUAUUUAAGUUGAGAAAUUAAUUGGUGACUCAUCUUUUACCAGUAGUAAUUUCUAUUUUGGGCGUCUUAGGUGUAUGCAUGUUCCAAUCCUUUGAGUGUCUGUACUAUGGAUAAGAAGUUAUAUCUAUAGAACCCUUAGUAAUAGUACGAUUUAUGGAGAUAGUAUUGAUUUUUGGGAUUUUAACUGGAAUAUAGAAUCAUUAUGCUUCUUUGGCAUUGUGGAUUUUUGAGAUUAUAUAGGCAUAUGUAUUUUUGCGAGUAAAUUCGUACACUUUUGGGGACUUUCUGGUAUAUUGGUUUAAGUUGUUAAUCUCCUAGAUGUACAGUAAUGGUUUUACGUAUUGGGUUGUUGAAGAUUAUUGCUAUAUAUAAUUUGAGAAACUCUAUAUUGUACACUAUUCUAAUUUCGAGGACGAAAUGUCUUUUAAGGUUUAUAGGAUGUAACGACCCGCACUCAUCUUAGGGGCAUUUUAGUAAUCUCACGUAUAACAUAUGGUAUGAUUAAAAAUUUACUAUAAUUUUAUUUUAUCGAUCAUAGAUAAUAGAGUGCGAUUAGAUAGAAAAUAUAAAAAUAAGAAUAAAUAAGUGAAAACCUAAAGCGCAUUCGAAAUCAUGGGGUAGAAUCCAUCUAAAUAUAAAAAAGUUAUUUAUAAUUAGAUAAUUAAUUACUACCAACUGUUUACUGACACAGACUUACUGUUUUAGGAUCGAGCGAGCGUGUGAACAAGAAAUUUGGGUUCAAAUGGACCCAUGUAAGGCCCAAGAAGAUUUUUUACUAAUGGGUUAACUUAAUUAAAUUGUUGCCAAGGGUAUUAGAUUUUAAUGUGGGGCUGCCUUGCAUGGCUGAAUGGGAAAACAGUUUGACACCUGCUGCUACACAAACCAACUGAAUAUACAUGAGUCAUGACAACUUAACCAUGAGGUGGCACCAUGUUAUUAAUAGGUAGUGUGAACAAGGAAUAAGUUUGAUUGAAAGAUGCUUAUGCAAACAAGGUGGCAGUAACUUAGAUUAGGUAAGGAUAGUUAUUGGUUUUUUGAUAAAAUGGGAAAACACCUACUGCUUCUAAUAGAUAAGGAUGGUUAUGAAAUGGACACCUCGGAUAGUUAUUGGUUUUUUGAUAAAAUGGGAAAACACCUACUGCUUCUAAAAGAUAAGGAUGGUUAUGAAAUGGACACCUCAUACUUCUGUUCAUUUGAGUUGGGUAUUUUGUAUCAAUCUAUGAGUGAGAGAGAACCGUUCUUGAUUGGAAACGUUGGAUCACUUGAAUUCUAUUUAAUAUAUUACAUGUACCCAUGAAUUGAAGGAGGCAUAUCCAGUUACAUAUCAAAGAUUGAAUGAAGAUAUUUCUUGAGUCAGAUUGAAGUCCUUAUAAGAUGGGUUGGUGGUGAUUAUCAAACGAGCAACUAGUGUUUGGGGUCAAGAGUUACUAGCUAAGCAAGAAGAUAAGAAAUUAAGGUUGUUGGUGAAGUUUGGCUACUAAGAAUUGUUGGUGACAAGUACUUUUGUGAUUUUGGCUGCGGGUUACAAGCACACUCAUUGAUGAGUUAUUUCUACCACAUGAACUGAAUUAAUAAUGAAAAUGAAACCAAAUGGAAACACCCACAAAUUAUUUUGGCAAAAGUUGGUGAUGGUGGGAUUAAUGGUUGGAACCCAUAUUUUCUGGAGCUUGUCAUAUAACUACUUUGGGACUUGAGUUUUUAGAAGCUAUUCAAGAGCGAGCAAGAGGUAGGGACUUACAUUUCUUUUAUACUGUUUUCAUGUGUCAUAUUUUAAAUGUUGCAAAUUAAUUGACAUAUUAUUGAUGAUAAAAAUGCAUGCAUGGUUUUAUUCGGUAUAUAUAAAUUACUCUUGGUUUAUCAAUUAUAGUUUUUAUUAAAGUGAUUAGUUACAGAUAUCAUGUUUUAAACUGGAGUUAUGAAAGCAGUAUAUGUAUAUUGAAAUGGUUUUAUAAACGGAUUUCUCGAUAAAUCUUUUUCCAAUGGUGGAAAAGAUUUGGUUUUGUAAUGCAGGGCAAGGAAACCCGAUUGUAAUAUAUAACUGGGAUGUGUGAGGUCCCUAGAUUGAUGGAAAUAUUGAUCUAGUAUGCUGUCACGAUUAUGGCUGUGGCCCGGUUAGGGUAACCAACUGUACGGAUCAUAUUUGAUUGUGGCUGUGGCCCGGUUAGGGUAGCCAUGGAUAUUGUUUAAAUCUGGGGACUCACCACACAUUUAUAUAUAUGGUAUAUAUAGUUAAUAUAUAAUGAGGUCGUUUGGAGAGGGACCUGUGAAUUCCUAUAAUGAAUGAGUUGUUGUCAUAUUCCGGAGACGGCAGUUCAUUCUAGGAUGACAUCUAUGGUGUUCACCUUUAGAAGGUGAAUGGGCCGCCUUCUAGAGAGAUACAUUAAAGAUGUAUCCGGGAAUUCUUUUUCACCAUUCCAGACCACCAUUUAUGUAGUGGUACGUUGUUGAUAUAUUAGUUCAGAUGAGGCUACAUGUUACCUCGAUGAGGUUUAGACGCAAGGGGUGAGAGUUAGUCCACUCCUGGACGUGUGUCAGGAUCUUGUGCAGUCUGCAGUCGUCGAACGGUUGACCACCGUAAGCCAGGGAUUCCUCGUAUCAGGAAUCGUGGUCAAAGGCCUACCUGAGCCUAAAUGGACGGGUUUAGUGUUCUUGGAACACAACAACGGUAAUACAGUCACCCCACCGGAAAUCAGGAAAUAACGGUGCAGGUUCACACUGGUAAGUACUGAACUAAGAGAUUGCAUGCGACCGGGGCGGUAUAGCGGUCGUACCUCAUCAUUCUAAUAGGAUGCAACUACCCGACUUAUUGUAUGGAUUCAUGGUUAGUAUGAUUACUAUAAAAGGUAAAAGUUUUGGUUUAAAAGUAUUUACUUAUCAAAUUACUUAUGUAUUUUAUUAUUAUAGUUAAAACCUGCAUUAUUUCAACUGUUUCGUAUGGUUAAUCGUCAUGCAUGAUUAGAUAGUAUUUUGGAAAUGUGAGUCACUACUGAGCAAGUGAAAAUGCUCACCCUAUCAUUAACCCCUUUUCAGUUAAACCGUUGCUCGAGGAUAGAUCGAUUCGGCAGAUAUGGUUGUGCGGAGGUUACAAUGGGUAUUGGUAUAGGUAUUCGUGCGAUAGGUAUACGUAGUUUCUUUUGUAUAAAAGUGAUCACAGUUUAUAUUAUUAUGUAUUGUACUAUUUUAUGUAUUUUUAAAGCCAAUUAUAUAGCACCAGAACUUGUGUUUUCUAACGGCAAAAUGCUGUUAGCAUAUUUUUUACUAACGGUUUUUAUGCGUUAGCAAAUUGGCGUUGGUAUUUACUAACAGGUCUUGUUGUAACAGUAUUAUACCGUUAGAACAUAUAAUUG
This 6998-nucleotide long non-coding RNA is filed under the name Aquilegia coerulea. RNAcentral describes it as "long non-coding RNA (ACOE_LNC000040)". Lineage: Eukaryota; Viridiplantae; Streptophyta; Magnoliopsida; Ranunculales; Ranunculaceae. The record is from RNAcentral.